Molecule: ribosomal RNA, 465 nt
Filed under: uncultured bacterium
Lineage: Bacteria
Description: partial 16S ribosomal RNA
Rfam family: Bacterial small subunit ribosomal RNA
Source: RNAcentral
CCUACGGGUGGCAGCAGUGGGGAAUAUUGCGCAAUGGGCGAAAGCCUGACGCAGCGACGCCGCGUGAGGGAUGAAGGUCUUCGGAUCGUAAACCUCUGUCAGCAGGGAAGAACGGUCACUGUGCUAAUCAGCAGUGAAUUGACGGUACCUGCAAAGGAAGCACCGGCUAACUCCGUGCCAGCAGCCGCGGUAAUACGGAGGGUGCGAGCGUUAAUCGGAAUUACUGGGCGUAAAGCGCUCGUAGGCGGGAGGUCAAGUCAAGGGUGAAAUCCCCGCGCUCAACGUGGGAACUGCCUUUGAAACUGGCAAACUGGGGUGUGUGAGAGGAUAGUGGAAUUCCAGGUGUAGGAGUGAAAUCCGUAGAUAUCUGGAGGAACAUCAGUGGCGAAGGCGACUAUCUGGCACAUAACUGACGCUGAGGAGCGAAAGCGUGGGUAGCAAACAGGAUUAGAUACCCUGGUAGUC